Non-coding RNA from Punica granatum (pomegranate), 2160 nucleotides. NCBI's taxonomy places the organism in Eukaryota, Viridiplantae, Streptophyta, Magnoliopsida, Myrtales, Lythraceae. The record is from RefSeq and is a predicted model, not a curated record.
UGAAUGCAUAACACCGAAUAUUUUAUGUGUCUUCAACCCCUCCCCUCCCCUCCCCUCUAUAAAACGGCUAUCGCCCCGCCUACCAUGGUUGUCAGAUCCGCUCCUCCUCCGCUUCCCCUCCGUCAAUCCUCUACGGUAAAAUUGCCUUUCCAAUAACCUUGCCGCCGGCAACCUCGGGAAGUAAGAAGCAACAACGGCCACAGAGAGGCAGUGACUGGUGAUGCAGCAGAGAGGACGAGCAUACAACCGCAGAUCUAGGAGCUUCUCUCGGUCCCGCCUCGCCGUUGAAGGCUGUUAAUCUCCAUUCCAUUCCCUUCCCCUCCAUUGUCCCCCUUCCUCUUCCUCCCCUGUUUCCCCCGCACCCAGUUCCUCCCCUCAUCGAAUCAGCUCAUUUCUCCCGUCAAUGGCUACUCAAGGAGAUGAGCGUCUGGCUCAGAAGAGCUACUGGAUCGAGCAUUGUGCAGACCUCACCGUCGAGGCCAUGAUGCUCGACUCCAAGGCCACGGAUCUCGACAAAGAGGAGCGACCCGAGGUGCUUUCUAUGCUCCCGGAUUAUGAGAGAAAAUCAGUUUUAGAACUUGGAGCAGGCAUAGGUCGCUUUACUGGCGAGUUAGCUAAGAAAGCUGGUCAGCUCGUGGCUCUUGAUUUUAUUGACAGUGCGAUCAGGAAGAAUGAAGCCAUAAACGGGCAUCAUAAGAAUGCAAAGUUUCUAUGUGCCGAUGUGACAUCGCCAGACCUGCCUAUUACAGAGGAGUCGAUGGACUUGAUAUUUUCCAAUUGGUUGCUCAUGUAUCUUUCGGAUGAAGAGGUUGAGAGUCUGGCGCAUAGGAUGGUCAGAUGGUUGAAGGUUGGCGGAUAUAUUUUCUUCAGAGAAUCCUGCUUCCAUCAGUCUGGGGACUCCAAGAGGAAGUAUAAUCCAACGCAUUACCGGGAGCCCAGAUUCUACACAAAGGUUUUUAAAGAAUGUCAAUUGACUGAUGCAUCGGGAAAUUCCUACGAGCUCUCCCUUAUUGGCUGCAGAUGUAUUGGAGCUUAUGUCCGGAACAAGAAGAAUCAGAAUCAGAUUUGCUGGAUAUGGCAUAAGAUCAAGUCGGAAGAUGAUAAAGGGUUCCAGCGGUUCUUGGACAAUGUUCAGUAUAAAUCUAACGGCAUACUGCGUUAUGAGCGUGUCUUUGGCCCAGGCUUUGUGAGCACGGGAGGGAUUGAGACUACCAAAGAGUUUGUGGAGAAGCUGGAGCUAAAGCCUGGCCAGAAAGUUUUAGAUGUCGGCUGUGGCAUCGGAGGAGGAGACUUCUACAUGUCUGAGAAGUACGAGGUUGAGGUUCUUGGCAUCGAUCUCUCAGUGAAUAUGAUUUCUUUUGCUCUCGAGCGUGCUGUUGGGCUCAAAUGCACUGUUGAAUUUGAAGUCGCUGAUUGCACCACCAAAGAAUAUCCCGAGAACUCAUUUGACGUUAUCUACAGCCGGGACACUAUCUUGCACAUUCAAGUGAGACACUCUUUUUUCUGCACGGUUUUCAUUUUUGGUGAAUAUUUGUACGCCGAAGUUCCACUCAGGACAAACCUGGACUGUUCAGGUCGUUUUUCAAGUGGCUGAAGCCUGGAGGUAAAGUUCUUAUCAGUGAUUACUGCAGAAGUCCUGGAACCCCUUCACCUGAUUUUGCAGCUUAUAUUAAGCAACGGGGAUAUGAUCUCCACGAUGUGGAGGCUUAUGGUCAGAUGCUCAGGGAUGCUGGGUUCAGUGAGGUCAUUGCAGAGAAUCGAACUGAUCAGUUUAUGAAAGUUUUGACAAGGGAACUGGAUGCUGUUGAGAAAGAGAAGGAUGCAUUCAUCAGUGACUUCUCUCAGCAAGACUAUGACGACAUCGUCAACGGGUGGAAGGCAAAGCUGGUCAGGAGCUCAUCAGGCGAGCAGAGGUGGGGCCUCUUUAUUGCCAAGAAGAACUGAGGACCGGACAGCCGGGGGUCCUAAUAUAUAUGCCGUGGAUUGGGUUUUAUAUGGUUGUGUUGUGGGGUGUUAAUCACCACCAGCUCUCGUUUGAAGCUGGUGGAUAUGAUGUUUGAUAUGUUAGUUGGUCUCAUUUCUGAUUUCCAAUAAAGAAACUCCCUUUGGUAGAACUCGCUGCUUGAAAUAAGAAUGAAACUGUGAUCGAUAUGAGACUCA